UCUCCGUAGGUGAACCUGCGGAGGGAUCAUUAAGAAUUGAACAGCAGUGUCUGGCACUGUUGCCCAUUCUAACCCUUUGUGAACUACAACUCUGUUGCUUCGGGGGCGACCCUGCCGUUCGCGGCGCGGCGCCCCCGGGGGAAAUCAAACACUGCGUCAAUUUGUGUCGGAGUACUUGUUAAUGAACAAAACUUUCAACAACGGAUCUCUUGGUUCUGGCAUCGAUGAAGAACGCAGC
This 238-nucleotide unclassified non-coding RNA is filed under the name uncultured fungus. RNAcentral's name for it is "sequence contains ITS1, 5.8S rRNA gene". The stretch from base 190 to 238 matches the Rfam family "5.8S ribosomal RNA", at positions 1 to 49 of the family's 154-position model. Lineage: Eukaryota; Fungi. The record is from RNAcentral.